AAAAAAAAAGGGAGCUGAAAAGCUAGAAAAAACUACGGGCGGUUUGACGCUUUUUAGGCUGGAACUUGAGUCUUGAGACCACCAUCACCAAUCACACAUCUUUAGCAUUAUCAUGGCACCUCAUUCUACUGCAAUACUGCAUUAUAUUUAUAGAUGAAAACGCUUGAACAACCGAUUUCUUUCUUGUUUUAGAAGAUCGUCCCACGAAAGCCACCUCUUCUUCUUCUUUCCUUCAAGUUCUUGGUGGGUUUUUAGGGAUCUUAACUGGAUUUGAGAUUCUGCUGUGAACUAUAACGUCUGAAUGGGUUCAUCGGAUCGCUUGUUUAACAGGCAAAGAACUGUUCAUGAGAUCUUUGGAGGAGGAUUUGUUGCAGAGGUCAUACUAUGGAGACGAAAGAAUGCAACUGUUGGGAUAUUGUUAGUAGCUCUAGCUUCCUGGGUGGUGUUUGGGAGAUCGGGUUACACUCUGUUGUCGCUUGUUUCUAGUGUUCUUCUCCUCCUUCUUACGAUUCUUUUUCUUUGGGCCAAAUCUGCUGCCAUUCUUAACCGACCUUCUCCACCUUUACCAGAGUUGCAUCUCUCAGAAGAAAUGGUAAAUGAAGUUGCGGCUUUCAUCCGCACUCACUUGAAUGCUCUUCUCUCAGUUUCCCAGGACAUUGCCCUGGGUAAGGACACAAAGUUAUUCUUUCAAGUAGCUGGUUACCUGUUGCUGAUAUCUAUUGUUGGUGGCUUAGCUGAUUUUCUUACUUUGGGUUACACCAGUCUUCUUAUCAUACUUACAAUUCCUGCACUCUAUGAGAGGUACCAAGAUUUUAUUGAUAAAUAUGUCGAGACGGUGUGCAAGAAAUCACAGCAGUUGUAUGUAAAGUUUGAUAUGCAAUGUAUUGGCAGAAUCCGAAAAUGGAUUUUGGAGAAGCAGAAACUCAGCUGAUAUCUUCCUUAAUUCUAUUCUUGCUGAGGAUUUCUUGCUUCAUGUUCUUAUUGAGCUUUGGACGUUGGAGAUAUCUCUAUUUCUUCUCUGUUUUCUUUGGCCACUUUAAAACAAUUACAUCCAUUUUUGUACCUUCAUUCCCUCGCUGUGGUUUUGUUGGUGGCAUUGGUACAGAAAUGUAUAGGAGUUGCCACCAAGAAUCUCCAUGUCUAUAUAAAUACAUUAAAAGGGAGUUUUUAAUUGAAGCAGAUCCAAAUCAAAUUGGAUUCCACUAUUCAAUUCAAAAUUCCCUUUUAAUGUAUUUAUAUAGACAUGGAGAUUCUUGGUGGCAACUCCUAUACAUUUCUGUACCAAUGCCACCAACAAAACCACAGCGAGGGAAUGAAGGUACAAAAAUGGAUGUAAUUGUUUUAAAGUGGCCAAAGAAAACAGAGAAGAAAUAGAGAUAUCUCCAACGUCCAAAGCUCAAUAAGAACAUGAAGCAAGAAAUCCUCAGCAAGAAUAGAAUUAAGGAAGAUAUCAGCUGAGUUUCUGCUUCUCCAAAAUCCAUUUUC
RNAcentral lists this unclassified non-coding RNA (1485 nucleotides) under Hevea brasiliensis (rubber tree). The record is from RNAcentral. Lineage: Eukaryota; Viridiplantae; Streptophyta; Magnoliopsida; Malpighiales; Euphorbiaceae.